Molecule: ribosomal RNA, 253 nt
Filed under: uncultured bacterium
Lineage: Bacteria
Description: partial 16S ribosomal RNA
Rfam family: Bacterial small subunit ribosomal RNA
Source: RNAcentral
UACGUAGGGGGCAAGCGUUGUCCGGAUUUAUUGGGCGUAAAGAGCGUGUAGGCGGCCAGGUAGGUCCGCUGUGAAAACUCGAGGCUCAACCUCGAGAUGUCGGCGGAAACCAUCUGGCUAGAGUCCGGAAGAGGAGAGUGGAAUUCCUGGUGUAGCGGUGAAAUGCGUAGAUAUCAGGAGGAACACCGGUGGUGUAGACGGCUUUCUGGACCGUAACUGACGCUGAGGCGCGAAAGCUAGGGGAGCAAACGGG